RNAcentral lists this ribosomal RNA (300 nucleotides) under uncultured Natronorubrum sp. RNAcentral's name for it is "bacterial SSU rRNA". It matches the Rfam family "Bacterial small subunit ribosomal RNA", at positions 496 to 795 of the family's 1533-position model. The record is from RNAcentral. Lineage: Archaea; Methanobacteriati; Methanobacteriota; Halobacteria; Halobacteriales; Natrialbaceae.
GCCUACGACGGGCCGUCGGCGGCGGUGGUACGGAGGGGGCAAGGGUUGUCGGGAGUGAUGGGGGGUAACGAGCUCGUAGGCGGUCGGGCUCGUCGGCGGUUAAACCCGGGGGCGCAACCCCGGGCCUGCAGCCGAUACGGGCAGACUAGAAUUCGGUAGGGGAGACUGGAAUUCCUGGUGUAGCGGUGAAAUGCGCAGAUAUCAGGAGGAACACCGGUGGCGAAGGCGGGUCUCUGGGCCGAUAUUGACGCUGAGGAGCGAAAGCGUGGGGAGCGAACAGGAUUAGAUACCCCGGUAGUC